AGCUCCAAUAGCGUAUAUUAAAGUUGUUGCAGUUAAAAAGCUCGUAGUUGGAUUUCUGGCAGGAGCGACCGGUCACGCACUCUGUGCGUGAACUUGCGUUGUCUCUGGCCAUCCUUGGGGAGAUCCUGUUUGGCAUUAAGUUGUCGGGCAGGGGAUACCCAUCGUUUACUGUGAAAAAAUUAGAGUGUUUAAAGCAGGCUUAUGCCGUUGAAUAUAUUAGCAUGGAAUAAUAAGAUAGGACUUUGGAACUAUUUUGUUGGUUUGCGUUACGAAGUAAUGAUUAAUAGGGACAGUUGGGGGUAUUCGUAUUUCGUUGUCAGAGGUGAAAUUCUUGGAUUUCCGAAAGACGAACUACUGCGAAAGCAUUUACCAAGGAUGUUUUCAUUA
This 387-nucleotide ribosomal RNA is filed under the name Thalassiosira sp. Its description in RNAcentral is "SSU rRNA". It matches the Rfam family "Eukaryotic small subunit ribosomal RNA", at positions 587 to 975 of the family's 1831-position model. The record is from RNAcentral. Lineage: Eukaryota; Bacillariophyta; Thalassiosirophyceae; Thalassiosirales; Thalassiosiraceae.